This 253-nucleotide ribosomal RNA is filed under the name uncultured bacterium. RNAcentral's name for it is "partial 16S ribosomal RNA". It matches the Rfam family "Bacterial small subunit ribosomal RNA", at positions 524 to 776 of the family's 1533-position model. The record is from RNAcentral.
UACGUAGGGUGCGAGCGUUACUCGGAAUUACUGGGCGUAAAGUGUGCGCAGGUGGCUUCGCAAGUCGAGUGUGAAAUCCCCGGGCUUAACCUGGGAACUGCAUUUGUGACUGCAUGGCUAGAGUGCGGCAGAGGGGGAUGGAAUUCCGCGUGUAGCAGUGAAAUGCGUAGAUAUGCGGAGGAACACCGAUGGCGAAGGCAAUCCCCUGGGCCUGCACUGACGCUCAUGCACGAAAGCGUGGGGAGCAAACAGG